AGAAUCAACGCUGGCGGCGUGCCUAACACAUGCAAGUCGAACGAGAAAGUGGAGCAAUCCAUGAGUAAAGUGGCGACCGGGUGAGUAACACGUGACUAACCUACCUUCGAGUGGGGGAUAACCUCGGGAAAACCGGGGCUAAUACCGCAUAAUGCCUUCGGGUUAAAGGAGCAAUUCGCUUGAAGAGGGGGUCGCGGCUGAUUAGCUAGUUGGCGGGUAACGCCCACAAGGCGAUGAUCGGUAGCCGGCCUGAGAGGGCGCACGGCCACACUGGAACUGAAACACGGUCCAGACUCCUACGGGAGGCAGCAGUGGGGAAUUUGCGCAAUGGGGAAACCCUGACGCGGCAACGCCGCGUGGAGGAUGAAGUCCCUUGGGACGUAAACUCCUUUCGACCGGGACGAUAAUGACGGUACCGGUGGAAGAGGCCCCGGCUAACUUCGCGCCAGCAGCCGC
This 456-nucleotide ribosomal RNA is filed under the name uncultured bacterium. RNAcentral describes it as "SSU rRNA". It matches the Rfam family "Bacterial small subunit ribosomal RNA", at positions 26 to 518 of the family's 1533-position model. The record is from RNAcentral.